AAGACCCCGUGAACCUUUACUAUAGCUUGACACUGAACAUUGAGCCUUGAUGUGUAGGAUAGGUGGGAGGCUUUGAAGCGUGGACGCCAGUCUGCGUGGAGCCGACCUUGAAAUACCACCCUUUAAUGUUUGAUGUUCUAACGUGGACCCGUUACCCGGGUUGCGGACAGUGUCUGGUGGGUAGUUUGACUGGGGCGGUCUCCUCCUAAAGAGUAACGGAGGAGCACGAAGGUUGGCUAAUCCUGGUCGGACAUCAGGAGGUUAGUGCAAUGGCAUAAGCCAGCUUGACUGCGAGCGUGACGGCGCGAGCAGGUGCGAAAGCAGGUCAUAGUGAUCCGGUGGUUCUGAAUGGAAGGGCCAUCGCUCAACGGAUAAAAGGUACUCCGGGGAUAACAGGCUGAUACCGCCCAAGAGUUCAUAUCGACGGCGGUGUUUGGCACCUCGAUGUCGGCUCAUCACAUCCUGGGGCUGAAGUAGGUCCCAAGGGUAUGGCUGUUCGCCAUUUAAAGUGGUACGCGAGCUGGGUUUAGAACGUCGUGAGACAGUUCGGUCCCUAUCUGCCGUGGGCGCUGGAGAACUGAGGGGGGCUGCUCCUAGUACGAGAGGACCGGAGUGGACGCAUCACUGGUGUUCGGGUUGUCAUGCCAAUGGCACUGCCCGGUAGCUAAAUGCGGAAGAGAUAAGUGCUGAAAGCAUCUAAGCACGAAACUUGCCCCGAGAUGAGUUCUCCCUGAGACUUAGAGUCUCCUGAAGGAACGUUGAAGACGACGACGUUGAUAGGCCGGGUGUGUAAGCGCAGCGAUGCGUUGAGCUAACCGGUACUAAUGAACCGUGAGGCUUAACCUU
RNAcentral lists this ribosomal RNA (846 nucleotides) under Salmonella enterica. RNAcentral's name for it is "partial 23S ribosomal RNA". It matches the Rfam family "Bacterial large subunit ribosomal RNA", at positions 2085 to 2925 of the family's 2925-position model. Lineage: Bacteria; Pseudomonadati; Pseudomonadota; Gammaproteobacteria; Enterobacterales; Enterobacteriaceae. The record is from RNAcentral.